This 253-nucleotide ribosomal RNA is filed under the name uncultured bacterium. Its description in RNAcentral is "partial 16S ribosomal RNA". It matches the Rfam family "Bacterial small subunit ribosomal RNA", at positions 524 to 776 of the family's 1533-position model. The record is from RNAcentral.
GACGAGGGGUCCUAGCGUUGUUCGGAAUCACUGGGCGUAAAGCGUAUGUAGGCGGGUUUCUAAGUCAGGUGUGAAAUCCCACGGCUCAACCGUGGAAUUGCAUUUGAAACUGGAAGUCUUGAGUGUGGGAGAGAUUGGUAGAAUACCUGGUGUAGUGGUGAAAUACGUAGAUAUCAGGUGGAAUACCGGUGGCGAAGGCGGCCAAUUGGCCCAACACUGACGCUGAGAUACGAAAGCGUGGGGAUCAAACAGG